This 590-nucleotide ribosomal RNA is filed under the name uncultured bacterium. Its description in RNAcentral is "bacterial SSU rRNA". The stretch from base 1 to 522 matches the Rfam family "Bacterial small subunit ribosomal RNA", at positions 338 to 873 of the family's 1533-position model. The record is from RNAcentral.
CCUACGGGAGGCAGCAGUGGGGAAUAUUGCACAAUGGGCGAAAGCCUGAUGCAGCGGCGCCGCGUGAGGGACGACGGCCUUCGGGUUGUAAACCUCUUUCAGCAGGGACGAAGCGCAAGUGACGGUACCUGCAGAAGAAGCACCGGCUAACUACGUGCCAGCAGCCGCGGUAAUACGUAGGGUGCAAGCGUUGUCCGGAAUUACUGGGCGUAAAGAGUUCGUAGGCGGUUUGUCACGUCGUUUGUGAAAACUCACAGCUCAACUGUGAGCCUGCAGGCGAUACGGGCAGACUUGAGUACUGCAGGGGAGACUGGAAUUCCUGGUGUAGCGGUGAAAUGCGCAGAUAUCAGGAGGAACACCGGUGGCGAAGGCGGGUCUCUGGGCAGUAACUGACGCUGAGGAACGAAAGCGUGGGUAGCAAACAGGAUUAGAUACCCGUGGUAGUCCACGCCGUAAACGGUGGCGCUAGGUGUGGGUUCCUUCCACGGAAUCGUGCCGUAGCUAACGCAUUAAGCGCCCGCCUGGGAGCGGCCGCAGGCAAACUCAAGGAAUUGACGGNGNGNGAGNGCGACGACGACGACGAGGAGAGG